AGUGAACGCUGGCGGUAGGCCUAACACAUGCAAGUCGAACGGCAGCACAGUAAGAGCUUGCUCUUACGGGUGGCGAGUGGCGGACGGGUGCGGAAUACAUCGGAAUCUACUUUUUCGAGGGGGAUAACGCAGGGAAACUUACGCUAAUACCGCAUACGACCUACGGGUGAAAGCAGGGGAUCUUCGGACCUUGCGCGAGUGAAUGAGCCGAUGUCGGAUUAGCUAGUUGGCGGGGUAAAGGCCCACCAAGGCGACGAUCCGUAGCUGGUCUGAGAGGAUGAUCAGCCACACUGGAACUGAGACACGGUCCAGACUCCUACGGGAGGCAGCAAUGGGGAAUAUUGGACAAUGGGCGCAAGCCUGAUCCAGCCAUACCGCGUGGGUGAAGAAGGCCUUCGGGUUGUAAAGCCCUUUUGUUGGGAAAGAAAAGCAGCAGGUUAAUACCCCGCUGUUCUGACGGUACCCAAAGAAUAAGCACCGGCUAACUUCGUG
Molecule: ribosomal RNA, 492 nt
Filed under: uncultured bacterium
Lineage: Bacteria
Description: partial 16S ribosomal RNA
Rfam family: Bacterial small subunit ribosomal RNA
Source: RNAcentral